CACCAGUACCAAUCCCCGGAAAUUUUCUGGCUUUUCAGCCAAGCCCAACAACUCUGGGGAAGCCCCCUCGAGCCCCACCCCUAAGAGAAGUCUGUCUUCAAGCAAAUGUGACCCCAGGCAUAAGGACUGUCUGCUACGGGAGUUUCGAAAGUUAUGCGCCAUGGUGGCCGAUAAUCCUAGCUACAACACGAAGACCCAGAUCAUCCAGGACUUCCUUCGGAAAGGCUCAGCAGGAGAUGGUUUCCACGGUGAUGUGUACCUAACAGUGAAGCUGCUGCUGCCAGGAGUCAUUAAGACUGUUUACAACUUGAAUGAUAAGCAGAUUGUGAAGCUUUUCAGUCGCAUUUUUAACUGCAACCCAGAUGAUAUGGCACGGGACCUAGAGCAGGUCAGAGGAACGGGAGGGAGGGUAGGCUACAUUCCAGGUGGGGUUUUGCCAAGCCAGGCACCUGCAGCCUCUUUUUUUUUUCUGGUUGGGACACAUACUGUUUUAGGAAACUGAAACCCAUUUGAGCAAGCUUCCGUUAUAGGGGGAGCUGAAUGUGAGGCUAUAGCUCUUAAUUUCGUAAGUUUCUGAGGGUGGAAAC
This 587-nucleotide small RNA is filed under the name Pan troglodytes (chimpanzee). RNAcentral's name for it is "retained intron". The record is from RNAcentral. Lineage: Eukaryota; Metazoa; Chordata; Mammalia; Primates; Hominidae.